This is a long non-coding RNA of Ornithorhynchus anatinus (platypus), 413 nucleotides long. RefSeq lists it as uncharacterized. The transcript is spliced from 3 exons. Lineage: Eukaryota; Metazoa; Chordata; Mammalia; Monotremata; Ornithorhynchidae. The record is from RefSeq and is a predicted model, not a curated record.
CCUCCACCACCCUCCCUUCCCCACGCUCCGCAAGGGUUCGGCGCCGCUCGGCUCCUUUAAGACCCAUUUGAGCCCCCCACCCCGGCCCCCACCCGACCCCCCUGGACGCGCCGAGCAGAGUGAGAGCCGGAGUCCACGCUGUGAACGAGCUCACCCGCCCCUGGAAGUCUGCGCGUCUCUUUUCCCGGGGAAGAGAUUGGGGGCGUCGUGGGCACUGGUCUCCCCGCGGCCCCUUCGCUUGUCCAGUCCGGACACCCAACAGGCCGGGCUCAGCUGAGACGAUUUUGACUCCAUCCCCAACUGAAAAAGCUCCGGACCCGAAUUCCUGGACGAUCGAAUCUCCUGGAAGUCUCUCUCCCGUUCCCUACCCCAAAUAAAAAUUAAAAUAAAAACGAAAAAAAAACCCAAGCUAA